GGGGUGGCAACACCCUGAGUAAAGCGGCGAACGGGUGAGUAGCGCGUGGGUAAUCUACCCUUUAGUCUGGGAUAACCUCCCGAAAGGGGGGCUAAUACCGGAUGAUGUCCUCAUGGGGCAUCCCAAGGGGAGCAAAGGGGGCGCCCGUAAGGAGCUCUCGCUAAAGGAGGAACCUGCGUCCGACUAGCUAGUUGGCGGGGUAAUGGCCCACCAAGGCUCCGAUGGGUAGCCGGCCUGAGAGGGUGAUCGGCCACACUGGGACUGAGAUACGGCCCAGACUCCUACGGGAGGCAGCAGUAGGGAAUAUUGCGCAAUGGACGAAAGUCUGACGCAGCAACGCCGCGUGAGCGAUGAAGGUCUUCGGAUCGUAAAGCUCUGUCAGAGGGGACGAACCGUCCCGGGUCGAAUAGACACGGGAUCUGACGGUACCCUCAGAGGAAGCACCGGCCAACUCCGUGCCAGCAGCCGCGGUAAUACGGAGGGUGCAAGCGUUGUUCGGAUUUACUGGGCGUAAAGCGCGAGCAGGCGGGUCGGCAAGUCCUGUGUGUAAUCUUUCGGCUCAACCGGAAAACUGCAUGGGAAACUACCGAUCUUGAGUGCGAGAGAGGAUGGCGGAAUUCCUGGUGUAGCGGUGAAAUGCGUAGAUAUCAGGAGGAACACCGGUGGCGAAGGCGGCCAUCUGGCUCGACACUGACGCUCAUCCGCGAAGGUCGGGGGAGCAAACAGGAUUAGAUACCCUGGUAGUCCCGACAGUAAACGUUGGACACUAGGUGUUGGAGGUCGACCCCUCCAGUGCCGCAGCUAACGCAUUAAGUGUCCCGCCUGGGGAGUACGGCCGCAAGGUUGAAACUCAAAGGAAUUGACGGGGGCCCGCACAAGCGGUGGAGUAUGUGGGUUUAAUUCGACGCAACGCGAAGAACCUUACCUGGGGUUUGACAUGCACGGGGACGGAUGCAGAAGA
RNAcentral lists this ribosomal RNA (961 nucleotides) under uncultured bacterium. RNAcentral describes it as "bacterial SSU rRNA". It matches the Rfam family "Bacterial small subunit ribosomal RNA", at positions 73 to 1007 of the family's 1533-position model. The record is from RNAcentral.